GCGCUCGCUUCGGCAGCAUGUAUACUAGAAUUGGAAAGAUACAGAGAUUAGCAUGGCCCCUGCACAAGGAUAGCAUGCAAAUUCGUGAAGCGUUUCAUAUUUUU
Molecule: small nuclear RNA, 104 nt
Filed under: Prolemur simus (greater bamboo lemur)
Lineage: Eukaryota; Metazoa; Chordata; Mammalia; Primates; Lemuridae
Source: RNAcentral